GUGGGGAAUCUUAGACAAUGGGGGAAACCCUGAUCUAGCCAUGCCGCGUGAGCGAUGAAGGCCUUAGGGUUGUAAAGCUCUUUCAGCUGGGAAGAUAAUGACUGUACCAGCAGAAGAAGCCCCGGCUAACUCCGUGCCAGCAGCCGCGGUAAUACGGAGGGGGCUAGCGUUGUUCGGAAUUACUGGGCGUAAAGCGCACGUAGGCGGACCGGAAAGUCAGAGGUGAAAUCCCAGGGCUCAACCUUGGAACUGCCUUUGAAACUCCUGGUCUUGAGGUCGAGAGGGGUGAGUGGAAUUCCGAGUGUAGAGGUGAAAUUCGGAGAUAUUCGGAGGAACACCAGUGGCGAAGGCGGCUCACUGGCUCGAUACUGACGCUGAGGUGCGAAAGCGUGGGGAGCAAACAGGAUUAGAUACCCCAGUAGUCC
Molecule: ribosomal RNA, 425 nt
Filed under: uncultured bacterium
Lineage: Bacteria
Description: partial 16S ribosomal RNA
Rfam family: Bacterial small subunit ribosomal RNA
Source: RNAcentral